GACGAACGCUGGCGGCGUGCCUAAUACAUGCAAGUUGAGCGAUGAAGAUUGGUGCUUGCACCAAUUUGAAGAGCAGCGAACGGGUGAGUAACGCGUGGGGAAUCUGCCUUUGAGCGGGGGACAACAUUUGGAAACGAAUGCUAAUACCGCAUAACAACUUUAAACAUAAGUUUUAAGUUUGAAAGAUGCAAUUGCAUCACUCAAAGAUGAUCCCGCGUUGUAUUAGCUAGUUGGUGAGGUAAAGGCUCACCAAGGCGAUGAUACAUAGCCGACCUGAGAGGGUGAUCGGCCACCUUGGGACUGAGACACGGCCCAAACUCCUACGGGAGGCAGCAGUAGGGAAUCUUCGGCAAUGGACGAAAGUCUGACCGAGCAACGCCGCGUGAGUGAAGAAGGUUUUCGGGUCGUAAAACUCUGUUGGUAGGGAAGAACGUUGGUGAGAGUGGAAAGCUCAUCAAGUGACGGUAACUACCCAGAAAGGGACGGCUAACUACGUG
RNAcentral lists this ribosomal RNA (497 nucleotides) under uncultured bacterium. RNAcentral describes it as "partial 16S ribosomal RNA". It matches the Rfam family "Bacterial small subunit ribosomal RNA", at positions 28 to 507 of the family's 1533-position model. The record is from RNAcentral.